Molecule: small nuclear RNA, 191 nt
Filed under: Salmo salar (Atlantic salmon)
Lineage: Eukaryota; Metazoa; Chordata; Actinopteri; Salmoniformes; Salmonidae
Description: U2 spliceosomal RNA (ENSSSAG00000097696.1, ENSSSAG00000118019.1)
Rfam family: U2 spliceosomal RNA
About the family: U2 is a small nuclear RNA (snRNA) component of the spliceosome (involved in pre-mRNA splicing). Complementary binding between U2 snRNA (in an area lying towards the 5' end but 3' to hairpin I) and the branchpoint sequence (BPS) of the intron results the bulging out of an unpaired adenosine, on the BPS, which initiates a nucleophilic attack at the intronic 5' splice site, thus starting the first of two transesterification reactions that mediate splicing.
Source: RNAcentral
UUAUCGCCUCGGCCUUUUGGCUCAGAUCAAGUGUAGUAUCUGUUCUUAUCAGUUUAAUAUCCGAUACGUCCCCCAUCGGGGGACUACAUAUUAAAUGGAUUUUUCGAACAGGGAGUCGGAAAUGGGGCUUGCUCCGUCCGCUCCACGCAUCGACCCGGUAUUGCAGUACCUCCGGGAAUGGUGCAACACUU